This 253-nucleotide ribosomal RNA is filed under the name uncultured bacterium. Its description in RNAcentral is "partial 16S ribosomal RNA". It matches the Rfam family "Bacterial small subunit ribosomal RNA", at positions 524 to 776 of the family's 1533-position model. The record is from RNAcentral.
UACGUAGGCAGCAAGCGUUGUUCGGAGUUACUGGGCGUAAAGGGGGUGUAGGCGGUUCUUUAAGUUUGGUGUGAAAUCUCCCGGCUCAACCGGGAGGGUGCGCCGAAUACUGAGGGACUAGAGUGCGGGAGAGGAAAGUGGAAUUCCUGGUGUAGCGGUGAAAUGCGUAGAUAUCAGGAGGAACACCGGUGGUGUAGACGGCUUUCUGGACCGUAACUGACGCUGAAACACGAAAGCGUGGGUAGCAAACAGG